RNAcentral lists this ribosomal RNA (431 nucleotides) under uncultured bacterium. Its description in RNAcentral is "bacterial SSU rRNA". It matches the Rfam family "Bacterial small subunit ribosomal RNA", at positions 28 to 412 of the family's 1533-position model. The record is from RNAcentral.
GACGAACGCUGGCGGCGUGCCUAAUACAUGCAAGUCGAGCGAGCUUGCCUAGAUGAUUUUAGUGCUUGCACUAAAUGAAAACUAGAUACAAAGCGAGCGGCGGACGGGUGAGUAACACGUGGGUAACCUGCCCAAGAGACUGGGAUAACACCUGGAAACAGAUGCUAAUACCGGAUAACAACACUAGACGCAUGUCUAGAGUUUGAAAGAUGGUUCUGCUAUCACUCUUGGAUGGACCUGCGGUGCAUUAGCUAGUUGGUAAGGUAACGGCUUACCAAGGCAAUGAUGCAUAGCCGAGUUGAGAGACUGAUCGGCCACAUUGGGACUGAGACACGGCCCAAACUACCUACGGGAGGGCAGCAGUAAGGGAAUACUUCCUAACCAAAUAGGACGGAAAAGUACUGAUGGAGCAACGCCGCGUGAGUGAAGAA